Molecule: ribosomal RNA, 590 nt
Filed under: uncultured bacterium
Lineage: Bacteria
Description: bacterial SSU rRNA
Rfam family: Bacterial small subunit ribosomal RNA
Source: RNAcentral
GAUGAGCCUACGCACUAUUAGCUAGUUGGUAGAGUAAAAGCCUACCAAGGCGAAGAUGGUUAGUCGGCCUGAGAGGGUGUACGACCACAAUGGAACUGAAACACGGUCCAUACUCCUACGGGAGGCAGCAGUGGGGAAUAUUGCACAAUGGGCGCAAGCCUGAUGCAGCGACGCCGCGUGGAGGAUGAAGGCUUUCGAGUUGUAAACUCCUGUUAAGUGGGAAGAAAGACUGUUGACUAAUAAUCAGCAAGGAUGACGGUACCACUAGAGAAAGCACCGGCAAACUUCUUGCCAGCAGCCGCGGUAAUACGAAGGGUGCAAGCGUUAUUCGGAGUUACUGGGCGUAAAGAGUAUGUAGGCGGUUUGUUAAGUUAGUUGUCAAAGACCACGGCUCAACCGUGGAAAGGCAGCUGAUACUGAUGAGCUAGAGCGCAGAAGAGAGGAGUGGAAUUCCCGGAGUAGCGGUAAAAUGCGUAGAUCUCGGGAGGAACACCGGUUGCGAAGGCGGCUUCUUGGUCUGUGGCUGACGCUAAAGUACGAAAGCGUGGGGAGCAAACAGGAUUAGAUACCCUGGUAGUCCACGCUGUAAA